Molecule: long non-coding RNA, 4662 nt
Filed under: Homo sapiens (human)
Lineage: Eukaryota; Metazoa; Chordata; Mammalia; Primates; Hominidae
Description: HSALNT0028355
Source: RNAcentral
GCGCAGCUCAAUUAUUGCGCGGGCUGGGGGCGGGGCCUGCGGGGAAGGGACAGAGCCAAGCCCAGCCUUGAGCCAUCCUCGCCCCUGUGGCGGAAAUGGGAGGGUGCCUGGAGGAGUGGAGGGAUUGGAUUUACACCCUCUUUUCCCUCCGAAGCCUCCUUGGUGGGGGCGAAGAAAGACCAUCCAACCCUGCCAAAGGCAAAAGGAUUAAGGAUAAAUGAAAGCAAGAUAAUGUAGAAGAACUACUUAGCUGCUGGGUUUUUGGAGAUGAGUGAUUUUUUUUUGUAGGGAGAAAUUAUGAAACACAUUGAAAUGGACAAAAAAUUACUGAAUGUCUUCAAUGAAAAAACAGCCAUAGUUUGGCACACCGUCCCGGGCAUUCUGUUGCUAGAGGGGCUGUCCGCUUUUCUUUGUGGUGCUCUGCACAACUCGGCAGUUGCGGUUUUCCUGCCCUUGGGACGUGCAAUUAUGUUGUCCAGCCCGCUGCCAGAGGACAGCAGGAAGGGAGAUGUGUUGUCCACCCCACUGCCACUGGACCACUUCUAUACAUAGCUGGUUCUUCUGUCCAGCCCGCUGCCACUGGACUCUUUCCCCUCUGUCACCACUGGACUGUAAGCUCCUAAUACAAACCCAUGUCUCAUUUACUGGCUCUCCAGUCUCUUCUUGGCCUCUUGAACCUGGUACCUUCUCUAUUGAGGUAAGGAUGGGGCAGAGAAGGUUCUCAAGCAAUAUUCUGAAAUGAGCAUGAAUCGAUGAAUCAUUUUCCAGAGCUUGGGGGCUUUCCAGGGACAGUGAGCCCCAGGAAUCUGACACAUGGACUCUUACCAAGAGAAAUGGAAUUCCUGAGUGGGGACUGCACAGGAAGCAGUAACGCUUUUCAGCAUAAACUGUAGUCAUCCUGGCCAGGGCUGCAGGCAAGUGAGGGAGCAGCUGCGCCCGGGGUCUAGCAAAGCCCUGGUUCCUCCAGUGAGACCCAAAGCAUCUCCUGAAGGAAGGUCUCUUAAACGACCCUCAGAAUCGGAUUUCGCUCUGCAUCGAGUUUUCUGAAACUUGAAGAUCAAAUGCUGAGGUUACAAAUGCUUUCCAUUAUUUUCUUCAUGGUUUUCUAGAUUUUAAAACAUUGCUCUAGCCAGGGUGUUUUCCCAGCCCCCACGUCCAUGGCACCCCCAGUCUCUUCUCUGCACAUCUGGAUUUCCUACGGGGUUUCACUGGUGUCCAGGGCCGUCACCCAAAGGUGCCUGGCCUGGAGUAAGCAGAGGCUGGAACACAGCCUGAGCCUGGAACACAGCCUGAGCCCUGCUUGUCAAGUUCUGCUUCUGACCAGCGGAGGGGGGCCCAGACUGGGUGCCUAUUUCUAAUUCCUGGAAAGGGUUACACAGCGACAUGCAAAGUCCUCCCCAGUAUGGACCACAUUGAAGCAGGUGUGAGGCAGACACCAGGGCUUCCCAGCCACCAGGCUUCUUUGGCCACUUUUUCGUCUUGUCCUGGUAGAAGGUGGCCAUGAAUCCAAGCACCCCUUCCAGCCUCACGAGAUGAAUUAAUUAGCCUAAACUGUUUGUGGUAAUUCCUUUCCCCUUGUGAGCAAUUUGGCACUUUUUGGCACCCAGUCUCUGGUGUGACCUCGCCAUCCUCAUUGGCACAGCCACCCUGGGAACAAAAGCCAUCCUCACGUGUCGCUGAGAUCCCAGCCAUGUGCACACUCAGCCCAGGUAGGCUGCAAGGGCAGAAGCCUCUGAGACCCACUGACUCUUAGCCUUAAUUCUUCCAAAUCAACUUUAAUUUGCCCCAAAUCCCCACACACCAGGACUGUGCCCAGGCUGUGGGGGUCUUACACAGCGUGAAAACUUCAGGAACUUCCUGCUGUCAUCAGUUACUGGUCUUCCUAUUUACCGUUUGGACAACCACAGACUGAAGGAAUCUGAAAUGGACCCGUCGGGUCAGUGGCUCUGAGCCACUGUGGGAAUGUCUGGCAAGGCUGGAAGCCCUGGGGUCUAAGGUCCAGGGGGCCAAGGUGCACCUGGGCUGGCCUUUUGUUCACAGGCUUCCCUGUGAUCUCCCUCCAGCCUGGGAGAAAAAAAAAAAUCUCUCUUCCAUGCUCCUCUCAAAGGCACCCCCUGCAGGACAUCCACACGGUCUCUCUGGGAGCUUGGGCUUUUAUUAAAGACACAGCAAGCCUGCCUUGCCAAAAUCCCUCAGACAAGGCCAUGCCAAGGGCUGGCGACCUCCUGGUAAUGUGAGAAGACACCAGAAGAACACGUACUCCUUUUUCAAUUAACUGUCCCCCCAUCUUUCCGAGGAAAUCUGACUCCUGUACCAAGCUUGCCUUCUAAACAGGUUGAGAGCCUAGAAGCCAAGGGACAGGGCUGUGAGGGGAAAGACUGGGCCCAGCCAGUGAGUGGGGGGCAGCCUGGGAGGAGCAUGUUGGCAGCAUGAGCCCAGCAGGGAAAGAAGGCCUCUGGCCUCUGUCCUGAAUGGCAGGAGGAAGUCACCGUCGGCCACCCUCACAGCCCAGGGUUGGGGCUUCUGGAGUGACUGAUAUCACCCCACGUAUGAAUCUGGCCCUGAUGCCAAGGACUGUGAUUCAACAAGGCAACUGGGGCCAUACACAGGGGUGCUGGGCCCUGUAGGAGACAGUGGCAAGGCCCUGCUCUCAGGCUCCUGGGUCCCAGUGGGGAGGCAGCCUCAUGCAUGGAUCCUUAGCCCGUGAGGAGCAGGAUGGCUGCAAUAAGGAGGAGGAAGCCUGAACAGCUGAUUCCUCCUUGGGCGGUGGGUGGGGUUGGCUCUGUGGGAUCUGAGAAGGCUUCUUGGGAGAGGUUGGGUUUAAGUUAGGACCUUGAGACAGGCAGGAGGAAGCCAUUCUAGAGAAAGGUGGCAGUUUCUGGGAGGGGUUUAUAAUUGAAGCUGGGGCAUCAGGGGUAUGUCAGAAGAAGGAGGGGCAGUGGAAAAUAAGCUUGUAAAAACAGCUUGAGGCCAAACCACAAAGAACACUGAAUGCCUGGGGAGGGGGAGUUUAGUUUGAAUUUUUAUUGUUUAUGCAUGGUCAUAGUUUAAGGAUCCCUGCCCCCAGUCUCAGAUUUUGCCUUUUCCUGCUUCCCAAGCUUUCAGCUGGUUCUUUUAGUAUUUACCUUCAUAGCUGUAAAUAUUAUGCUUAGAUUACUAUUUGAUUUUUCUACUUAUAAUGUCAUUCGUUGAGUUUCUGCUACAGAAGAUGAGAUGUUUAUGUAUAGUGAGAGCAGUAUACAUAAACAUACUUCCUAUCCCUUCAAAUAGAGUUACAUUAUAAUUUUAGUUCAUUAAUAGUUUGCAUUACAUUAUUAUUACUACAUCAACAAUACUCACAGCUGAAUCAUAUAGUAGACCAUGGUAACCUUUUGCUUGCUUAUUUUGUACUUUUCCUGAAAUUAAUCAUUACCUUGUUGUUUGCUUCUUUGUUUUAGUUUGUUUAAGUUUCUAAGUACUUAUUACUAAUGAAACCCCAAAGUUUUUGUCAAGUAUAGACAUCUCCUUUCAGGCUGUUCAGAAAGCCUGUGGUGUCCUACCAACUUCACCCUCCUGGGAAGCUCUUCUGAACCCUAGAGUCCUGUGCAUAACCAUUUGGGAAAAUCCCUUCAUCUCUCUCCUGGGUUAAGGUCCCCUUGCCUUCUUCCUCAUUUCACCCCUAUGUUUUGAUAGAGCACAUCCCCCAGUAGCUUUCUGAGAAAAGGUGCAUUUGGGGCCGUGAUACUUGAAUACCUGGAAAAGUCUUUUCUACCCUUGCAGUUGAUUGAUAGGUUGGCUGGGUAUAGGUUUUAGGUUAGAAAUCAUUUUCCUUUAGAAUUUUGAAAACACUGCUCCAUUGCUUUAAAAAAUGUUGCAACUGAGAAACAUAAAGCCAGCUUGAUUUCUGUCUCCUUUGUAUGUGAUGGGAUUUUUUUUUUCUGUUCUUCUGGGAGCUUUUACAUCUUCUCUUUGUCCCCAGUGUUGUGAAAUUUCACAAUAACCGACCUUGCUGUAGGUCUCUUCAUCCAUUGUGCUGGAAUGGGCCCUUUUAAUGUGGAAACUUGUCCCUCUUGUCUGGGACAUUUUCUUGAAAUAUUUCCUUGACAAUUUCUCUGACAGUAGGUAUUUUUUUCCACCCUUUGAAUAUAGAUGGAAAUACCAUUUUCCCCAGAAUGUAACCAGAUCUUGUCGUUCUAGAAUGUAGCCAGGGAAGCAAAGGCAUCCAGCUAAGUUUGCCUGUGGUAGGAGUCAGAGCGUAAGCUUACUUUGGAAAGGGAGUUCUGCGGUCCACUUUCUGCCUCCGCUGAAGGCCUUCAUGUCGAUGAAGUGCCUGGGAGGUCCUAAGUCUCAUCUUAUUAGAGAAACUGCUCCUGAACAGCCUAAGAUGUCACCCCAUGCAUCAGUUCAUAGUCUCUUACUCUGCUUGAUUUUACUUGCCACAUCAUAGGUGCUCAAUGCUCAUUGUUUGUCAAAUUGAAUUAUUUGGGACACAAUUUUCCCGUCUGUAAAAUGAAGGUGCUGGACUAGAAUUCUAAAAGUCCCAGUAGCUCCAAUGUCCAACAACUAUGCUUAUGUCACUGUGUUGGAAAAUGACUUAUAAAAGGGAAUGAAAUAGUCUCUGUAAAUAUGUUUCUCUGCCCACAUUUAAUGAAUUGUCUACCACAAUGAGGGGGAGUCCUAUUU